This 3249-nucleotide long non-coding RNA is filed under the name Solanum tuberosum (potato). Its description in RNAcentral is "long non-coding RNA (STUB_LNC002955)". The record is from RNAcentral. Lineage: Eukaryota; Viridiplantae; Streptophyta; Magnoliopsida; Solanales; Solanaceae.
AAAGAACAUAAAAGGUUCUCAAGUUAUUCUAAUAAGCAUAUUACCUAACUUAAAAUGGGUUUUGGAAAUUUGGAAAUUUUAAAGUAAACAAGCGACAAAAUAUGAAAUAAAAAUCCCUCCAAAGAUUCAUCUAAGUUAAGAAAAUAAAUGUUAGAAGUUAAGAGCAAUUAUCACAAAAUAAGGAAAAUAAAAGUGCGAAGAGAACUUGGACAAAUCUAAGUCCAUUCGCUGCUUCUUAAUUGUUGUUGCUGGCGCAAUUUUCAAACUUUCUUAGUCUGAAAAAUGCAAGUUUCAGCCCUUCGAAACUGCUGUGACCUGUUACUGAGCAGCUGCCAUCAAUAAUAAUUGAAUCAAUAAGUCAAAAAUCCCUAAAAUAUCAGCCCUUUAGGGCAGUUGCGAUCUGCUCACGUUACUUGGGUUUUAAACCCAAUUUUUGCUCCUCGUUUCCCUGCCUUUUCAAGGCUGCUGUUGCUGCUGGUUUGCUUGGGUUUUAACCCAAUAAUACUAGCUUCCCUUUCACGACUCGGAGGAGGUUUGACUCAAGAAGAGGACUAUGCAAGAGAGGGGAGUCCGUGUGAACUCAAUGGAAGCGUGUUCAUGCAUAAUAAGAAAAAGAAUUAGCUAGUAUAGAUGAACUCCAAGGAAAACAUAACGAAUUAAAAUUAUCGUUAAAACUAACCAAACCAGAAACACAUGAUCAUUAAUUAGUCACAGCUUUCAGAACUUAAGUAGUAUGGUAAACUGGACAGAUUUUCUUUUUUUUUUUUUUAAAAAAAAAAGGAAAAACUAAGUCAAUAAACAAGUCAUCUGUAGGCAAAAAAAAUAAGGGAUCAUUGCAGAGAACAUAAAAACCAAAGCAUUCAAUACUAAGCAGCACAUCAACUUUCUUAAGCAAGACACAAGACAAAGAAAAAUAUUUUGAGAAAUGAAGGAACUUAGAAGUAAAUUAUACAUGCAUAGAAGUUGUAUGUGAACUUAAACAAGAUUAUAGUAUUGUAGUCUAUAUUGAAACAUGCAAAACUAAAAUUAAAACAAACAGACAACUUCUUAGCUUUAUCUAGUGUGACUCAAAAAUAAAAACUAAUAAGAGCAAAACACAAAGAUAGGAGAGAAUGCUAAGAAGAGAAAAAUAAAACACUUGAUUUUAUAGCCUUAAGUCUAAUUAACCAACUCAUAGAUUCAAGUUUCAAUCAGCACAUUGCUAGCUAUAAAUUACUCAUCUCUAACUCACAAAAUUACCACACUUCGAUUGAUUUUAACAAAGAGUAAACAAUGAGCUAAAUUAACAAAGUACUAACAUAUAUUAUAUCACUUAGAUGCAUAAUUUAUCCAUACUAACUCUAGGUAAACUAAGCAUAACAGGACUUCAAAAAACUGUACUUGGAAGAAAUCAUUGUAAGGCUAACAUGCUUUACCAUUUCAGAAAUUGAGCGAAUCAACAAAAGAUCACGACUAGUAAAGCAGCACAUGACAUAUGAGCUUCCGAAUAGAACAACACAUCUAUGACAUCCAAUAUUUAAACUAAUAAUCAGCAAAUAGGAUGAAUUCCAAGCCAAGCAAAUGUACACAAUUUAGGAUCUAUAGCUCAAGGAGUGACAUGAGGAUCUAAAGGAUUUAGGAGCAACCAAAGAGAAAUUCAACUUCAUCUAGAGCUCAACUAAACCUAGGAUCAACUCAUGGUUUCCGAACAAAUAAAAUCCUUAACAUAAGAAGCAAGUAAGAAACCCACAUUGUGAAAAAAGGGAACUGGAUGUAAAACGAAGAAAGCAGGGGUUCACUUUAAGGAGCAUAUGUAAAAGUAGAAUUGAGAUUGAGUGCACUCAAAUGAAUCUACAUAUAACAUACAAUUGCUCAAUCCCUUGGACCACAAACGAACUAAAUAGAGUAUCAAAAGUGUCAUACUAAACUAAAGAAACAAGUUCAUAAUAUAAACAACAGUUAAACUCGAACAAAUCACAGCAACAUUUUAAUCAUAUAUUACUUGAGAAAUUUGAUAAAAACGUGAUACAAAACAAUCUUGAACGAUAAAUUUGAGACCUCAAAUUUUAUAAACUUAUAAAUAAACCCCUAUUUCACAGAGACUAAAAUGACAGAAACUAAACCAAGUACUAACAUUUUAACCAUUUUAUGGAGCAAGAGAUAGAUUCUUAAGGAAACAAUAGAGGAGUGACUAUUCAGUCGAGUUAGCAAGGGUAAGGCAUUUUUUAGGUUGUUUUCAAUCACCAGAUGCGAUACAGAAUCGAUCAAGCAAAAUGUGCUAUUAAGUCAAAACAGGAUUUCACAUUUUUACUAAAAGAAAAAUCUGGAAAGAAAAAAAAACAGUAACUCUCUCCAGAAACUAGGAUUGGAAAUUCAAACAACCCACAGGGAAUAAAAGAAACAUUGCUAAUGUACUUGUAAAAUCACCAAUACUUAGGCAUUCAACAAAAAUAUUCAUCAACAUAUAAAUGUUAGGAAACAUACUAGCCUUAAAUCGGCUCUAACACAUAACACAACAACAUAGACUAAAAUUAAACUAAAUAGAAAAGGAAAGGAAAGAGUUACCUGGUUCUGGGCAGCGACUGAAACUGGAGUCCGGAUGUGACGAACUCUACCACCACCCCGACUCAAAAUAGCCGCAAAUCAAUUGAAUUUCAGUGACGAAAAUAAGAGCUCCCAAAAAAACAUAGCGGGGUGCUCUUUUCUUCGCCUCCCAAAAAACCUCCCUUGAACAGUAAGAGGGAGGGGUAUUUAUAGGACCUAAAAUCUCACGAAAUUUGGAAAGAUUUUCGAUGUGGGAUUUUGAGAAUUUUCAAAAUCCCUUAACAUAUAAGGAUUGCCAACUAGUUAGUGUACGAAUUCGUACCAUUUUGAACGAAAUUGAAAAAGGAAAAUCGAAAAUUAUAAGGGUAUUACCGUUGAGGAAUGCAAUGCUGGAAGCUUGAGGCGUCUUUGAGCUCGUACUAUGCACGCGGAGAGUACGAAUUGAAGGAGAAAAGAGGAAAAUUGAGGCGGUGAAUCUGAGGAUUUGAAGUUGGGUUCGUUUGGUUGCUUUCGCUGAGGAAGAAGAAGAAGAAAGAGGUGGGAUCGGGGGGCGUGUAGGAGAGUUCUGUGUGUUCUUUCUAGGAAACAAAAAGAGUGUGUGUGCGCGUGAGGUAAAGGGGAUUAGGAAAAUAGUGGAAUAAAGGGUGUGGGCUGGUUUAAAGCUUUUUGGGGCCAAAAAAUUGGAUUAAAAAGCUGAGGAAAAAUAAGUGGGUUAAGGAACUGGUC